GCAAUAGUCAGCACAGAAUAGCUCCUCUGCACUAGCCCAGUCCGUGGGACCUCCUGGGCUGCUCCAUUCCCAUGUCACCGUGUGAUGAGGAUGGGGAGUUGGUCAUACCACAUCUGAGGUCAUUGUUCAACCUGCUGAGUGCUUCCCAGAUCUCAAGGCACACAACAGUCACCCUCUCAGUAGCAUUCUCUUACUGUGCAGCUGAGACAUGUCUUAGAUCUUCCGUUCUUGCCCUGACCUUAUACCAAAGAUGUUCUCACCUUACCGGGGCAGGUGCUCAGGGUGUCUGGCUUUGCUCCCAUCUCCUGUUUGGCACCCCCACCCUCCAUGUGAAUGGAUAACAAACACCAGCCCUUGAUACCUGGAGGAGCCAGGCUUGAUGCACUUAGAUGGAACAGCUUCUGGUUUGGUUCCCAGCCUUUGGCCCUCCUGUGUGUACCUUGCCAACCACGCUAUUUAUUUCCUGUUAGUAAGUAAUGGUAGUAUGAAGCAUUUCAAGAACACACUGAACAUCUGGAAGAAUGUGUUUUUCAUGACCAUAUGUUUGUUGAUGCACUGCAGACUGAACCUGACCAGUGCUUGCUCUCUGCUCCUAUGGUUUGUUCCACAGAGUGCUGAUUUCGUCCAGGCAGGAGCAGUAUCUUCCAAUGCGUCAACAUUUAGCAUGCGGUGCCCCAAUGCUGCCCAGAGAGCCUAGAUGCUGUGGGCCAAGAGAUAAUUUUGGUGCAGCAAUGUCAGGUGGAAACUCUGCCAAAAACACGUGUCGAGGGUGUGACCUCUGGGUUUCUCCUCCCUGGGGACAGGGGCUUCAGCUGUACUCAGGGUUGGCCUCAUGUUCCCACACUGAGCAGGAUGAUGGUGAUUAGCCAACCCACCUGAGAAAAUCCUCUUAAAUUCUAAACUUUGUUUGUGCUGUUAAUUGGCUGCGCCAGAGGGAAGAUUAACGGGUCCUGUGCAGUUGUUUGGGGAGAACUCACAGUUCCCUGACGCCACUACCUUUUUAUUUCCUGUCAGGAGCUUAUUCCCAUUUCCAGGGCAACCAAAUAGUUUUUAUCAGUAUCUGGGAGAAAAGAAAAAACAAAACCAGAGUUUCAAUCAGAUAAGGAUCUAAGGAAGCUUUCUAAAGAUAUUGUGCUCAAUGUUAGUCAUAUGAAUGUACUACAAGAUCAUGUUUCUUUGGUAUUUUUUUGUUUAAUUUCCUUAUUUGCGUUUUAGUUGUGUUCAUGGUUUAUUUAUUUAUUUUGGAUGCUCUCAGAUUCAGCCUUGCCGGUCGUUUAGCUUCUGUGCUAGCAAAAAUCAUGUCCUGGGCCAAAAGACAAGACAAGCUGCAGCUUAGGAAGUUCACUUCUUUAAGACGUUUUCUUUUUAAAGGAGAAAGCAGUUCAAACUGCACCUGGCAAAAUGACUGACUUCAAAAGCAUGUUUUUCCUUGUAUAUAGACACUCACAAAACAGCGUUGUGUGGUUAAAAAGGUGAGUUUGUGGUAGUUUCUUUUUCAGUGCCAAAAUAUAUAAGCAGUAUUGUUUGAAGGGAAAUAAGAAUUUUUUUACUGUAUUGUUAUUACUGUUGAACAAAUAUUGUUUUAAAUGUUAGAUUUUGAAGACUUUUGUAUUGUAAACUGUUUUGUGACAUGGUGCUUUUUCAUACUGGAAUUACUAAUUGCACCUAAAUAUGAAUUUUUGUUUUCUUAUAUAAAUAUGUAACCUUGAACAAUCUUGAUGAAAACCAAUGUAUGGUGGAUACCAAUGGUUCAAACCAAUUCUCCUACUGAAAUCCCCUAAAUGUUCUUUCCUACUAAUAAACAUUCUGCUGCAGC
This is a long non-coding RNA of Strigops habroptila (Kakapo), 1816 nucleotides long. The record is from Ensembl. Lineage: Eukaryota; Metazoa; Chordata; Aves; Psittaciformes; Psittacidae.